RNAcentral lists this ribosomal RNA (305 nucleotides) under uncultured bacterium. RNAcentral's name for it is "bacterial SSU rRNA". It matches the Rfam family "Bacterial small subunit ribosomal RNA", at positions 335 to 636 of the family's 1533-position model. The record is from RNAcentral.
CUAGCCUACGGGAGGCAGCAGUGAGGGAUAUUGGGCAAUGGGGGAAACCCUGACCCAGCGACGCCGCGUGAGGGAAGACGGUCCUAUGGAUUGUAAACCUCUUUAGGCGGGGAGCAAUGCCGGGCACGUGUGCCCGGAGGGAGAGUACCCGCAGAAUAAGCAUCGGCUAACUCCGUGCCAGCAGCCGCGGUAAUACGGAGGAUGCGAGCGUUAUCCGGAUUUAUUGGGUUUAAAGGGUGCGUAGGCGGAUUUUUAAGUCAGCGGUAAAAUGUCCGGGCUCAACCCGGGCCGGCCGUUGAAACUGG